RNAcentral lists this ribosomal RNA (1150 nucleotides) under Salmonella enterica. RNAcentral's name for it is "partial 23S ribosomal RNA". It matches the Rfam family "Bacterial large subunit ribosomal RNA", at positions 711 to 1769 of the family's 2925-position model. Lineage: Bacteria; Pseudomonadati; Pseudomonadota; Gammaproteobacteria; Enterobacterales; Enterobacteriaceae. The record is from RNAcentral.
AGACCCGAAACCCGGUGAUCUAGCCAUGGGCAGGUUGAAGGUUGGGUAACACUAACUGGAGGACCGAACCGACUAAUGUUGAAAAAUUAGCGGAUGACCUGUGGCUGGGGGUGAAAGGCCAAUCAAACCGGGAGAUAGCUGGUUCUCCCCGAAAGCUAUUUAGGUAGCGCCUCGUGAAUUCAUCUCCGGGGGUAGAGCACUGUUUCGGCUAGGGGGCCAUCCCGGCUUACCAACCCGAUGCAAACUGCGAAUACCGGAGAAUGUUAUCACGGGAGACACACGGCGGGUGCUAACGUCCGUCGUGAAGAGGGAAACAACCCAGACCGCCAGCUAAGGUCCCAAAGUCAUGGUUAAGUGGGAAACGAUGUGGGAAGGCCCAGACAGCCAGGAUGUUGGCUUAGAAGCAGCCAUCAUUUAAAGAAAGCGUAAUAGCUCACUGGUCGAGUCGGCCUGCGCGGAAGAUGUAACGGGGCUAAACCAUGCACCGAAGCUGCGGCAGCGAACGUAUCACCCAAGACAACUUUACGGAGUUGACGAUUGACGGAGCGAAGCGACGUCAAAGCGUUCAUUAAAGUCGAGUUGGCUUAGGGAUACGUUCGUUGGGUAGGGGAGCGUUCUGUAAGCCUGUGAAGGUGUGUCGUGAGGCAUGCUGGAGGUAUCAGAAGUGCGAAUGCUGACAUAAGUAACGAUAAAGCGGGUGAAAAGCCCGCUCGCCGGAAGACCAAGGGUUCCUGUCCAACGUUAAUCGGGGCAGGGUGAGUCGACCCCUAAGGCGAGGCCGAAAGGCGUAGUCGAUGGGAAACGGGUUAAUAUUCCCGUACUUGGUGUUACUGCGAAGGGGGGACGGAGAAGGCUAUGUUGGCCGGGCGACGGUUGUCCCGGUUUAAGCGUGUAGGUGUGUGUUCCAGGUAAAUCCGGUUCACUUUAACACUGAGGCGUGACGACGAGGCACUACGGUGCUGAAGCAACAAAUGCCCUGCUUCCAGGAAAAGCCUCUAAGCAUCAGGUAACACGAAAUCGUACCCCAAACCGACACAGGUGGUCAGGUAGAGAAUACCAAGGCGCUUGAGAGAACUCGGGUGAAGGAACUAGGCAAAAUGGUGCCGUAACUUCGGGAGAAGGCACGCUGACACGUAGGUGAAGUGAUUUA